AUACGUAGGGGGCGAGCGUUGUCCGGAAUGAUUGGGCGUAAAGGGCGCGUAGGCGGCGCGGUAAGUCUGGAGUGAAAGUCCUGCUUUCAAGGUGGGAAUUGCUUUGGAUACUGGGGGGCUUGAGUGCAGGAGAGGUUAUCGGAAAUCCCGGUGUAGCGGUGAAAUGCGUAGAGAUCGGGAGGAACACCAGUGGCGAAGGCGGGUAACUGGACUGCAACUGACGCUGAGGCGCGAAAGUGUGGGGAGCAAACAGGAUUAGAUACCCUGGUAGUCCACACUGUAAACGAUGAAUGCUAGGUGUAAGAGGUAUCGACCCCUUUUGUGCCGGAGUCAACACAAUAAGCAUUCCGCCUGGGGAGUACGGCCGCAAGGUUGAAACUCAAAGGAAUUGACGGGG
This 397-nucleotide ribosomal RNA is filed under the name uncultured bacterium. RNAcentral's name for it is "partial 16S ribosomal RNA". It matches the Rfam family "Bacterial small subunit ribosomal RNA", at positions 523 to 918 of the family's 1533-position model. The record is from RNAcentral.